GACGAACGCCGGCGGCGUGCUUAACACAUGCAAGUCGAACGGAAAGGCCCUGCUUUUGUGGGGUGCUCGAGUGGCGAACGGGUGAGUAACACGUGAGUAACCUGCCCUUGACUUUGGGAUAACUUCAGGAAACUGGGGCUAAUACCGGAUAGGAGCUCCUGCUGCAUGGUGGGGGUUGGAAAGUUUCGGCGGUUGGGGAUGGACUCGCGGCUUAUCAGCUUGUUGGUGGGGUAGUGGCUUACCAAGGCUUUGACGGGUAGCCGGCCUGAGAGGGUGACCGGCCACAUUGGGACUGAGAUACGGCCCAGACUCCUACGGGAGGCAGCAGUGGGGAAUAUUGCACAAUGGGCGGAAGCCUGAUGCAGCAACGCCGCGUGCGGGAUGACGGCCUUCGGGUUGUAAACCGCUUUCGCCUGUGGCGAAGCGUGAGUGACGGUAAUGGGUAAAGAAGCACCGGCUAACUACGUG
RNAcentral lists this ribosomal RNA (468 nucleotides) under uncultured bacterium. RNAcentral describes it as "partial 16S ribosomal RNA". It matches the Rfam family "Bacterial small subunit ribosomal RNA", at positions 28 to 507 of the family's 1533-position model. The record is from RNAcentral.